GAUGUUUGAGCUCAUAACCUGCACCCUAGGUGUUAGUGCUUAUUUUAUUCACCACACCGCACGCUCGCCUUGGAUCCAAGUAGGUGGAUGUCGUACAGACCAUGUGAGGGUUCCGACAUGCCAGUCGUACAGACCAUUAGAGGGGUUCCGACUGGUGGGUGACCUUAGAUAUGCGCGCUGAUGAUAUGAUGAGAGAAGCACUAGAGCGUAUUUUUACACCUAUCAUCGUAUAGACUACCUUACGUAGUUCCGAGUGAUGUGCAGAGUAGGGCCGUAUAGGUCACUGUGGUGACUCCGGCUUAGUGAGAUAUUGAGCUAUUGAAUUAAUCGUAUAGGACCAACUGCAGGGUCUCCGAUUGAUUCCUUAUUUCACCUGAUUUAUAUUUUGAUUUAUGGCAUGACAUGUUUUUCUUGAAAAAUGUUAAAGAUUUGGAAUUCAAGUUUUGAGAUUUCAUAUGGUUUUAUAUAUAUAUAUAUAUAUAUUUUUUUUUUUCUGAAAAGUGUUAAAGGUUUGAGAUUUGAGAUUUUUGCUUAUAUAUAUGUUUAUAUAUAUGCUAUUUUCUGGGAAAGUAUACAGGUUUUACGGUGAGGGGUUAGAAAUGUUUUAAAUGAAAAGUUUUCGAAAAACUUUGUUUUACUGACCCACUCAAUUUUGUUUUGCGCCCCUCCAGGUUCAAGUUAGCAGAGCUUUGGUGGCCACGAGGAAUCCAACGGUGUUCUGACAUAAUUCACAAAAGUAGGACUCACCCUCGGAUGUGUUAUCUUAGUAAUUGGAAAUUUUUUUAAAGCUUCCGAACUGUGUAAAUGGUUACGUCACUCUCACGUGACGGCCAGCACGCCCUCCUUCGGGACGGGGUGUGUCAGUUGGUAUCAGAGCCUAGGUUGCAAUUCUGGACAUCUUGAGAAUUUCCUAGUGUUUUCUGUCAGAACUAUACCGCCUCGUAGCGAGCCACGUAGUUCGGAUGAGCCUAAAUUCCCUGAUAUAGUAGUUUGGGGGGGAACUAUUGCCAUUGUGAUUCAGUCUAUUAUCUAAAGGAACCUUGAGACUGGUUAUAAGUUAAAUUUGAAUACAGACUUGCCUUGUUUCCAUUCGGAUGUUGUUACUAAUCCGGUCGAGGUGUUAUGUCGUUUUUGGCUGGAUAAUAAGAAGAAGUGACGUUCUUUGGCGACCACAAUCCAUUGUACUUUUUACCAAGAGUUUACGAGAUGUUGUUGGGCUUUAAAGACUUUGAGAAUAUGAUCAGCGAGAGUAAAGAGGAAUAAGAAAGGAAUGAGAAUCAGAAUAAGACGAUAAAGUUAAAGAUUCGUCAUAUCAAAAGACCUCGGAGGACUCAGAGCUUCAAAGGAAGUGAAAUUAGAGCUAAUUUUCCCAGCUUAGGUUUUACUGCCACUGGUCAGAGGCGAAGUGAUAGAUUUACUAGUGAUCCCAGAUUUUUGAGACAAGAUGACUCUGGUAGAGGAAAUGUAUAUUUGUGCCAUAGGUAUAAUAUUAGACACUUUGGAGAGUGUGGGAAUCAGUGAAUGUGUUCAUGUGGACGGAUGGGACAUAGAGGUAUGAAUUGUCCCUGAGAUCAGUUGUUACCCAACAGUCUUCCUUAACAUAUCACUUGGAAAAUUGACGGGUAAGUCGUACAGGUCACUAUAUGUGACUUCGACUUAUGAGCUAGCAUGGAUAGUCAAGUUGUAGACUCAGUCGCACAGGUCAUUCUAGCUGACUCCAACUGAUAUAUUUCUUAUUAUGGAUGAUGUUGCCAAAGAAAGUAAUGUUGGAGCACGAUCGAGGCGUAUUUAUGUAUUUCUAAGGAAGAACAAGAUAAUAUUACACAUUCAGGAAUUGUUACUUACUUAUCGAGACAACAUUGGGUUAUUUGUAUUGCGGGCUGCAUACCGUAAUAUUUAUAACUUAUUUGUUGGAUUCGUUAAGCAAGUAAACACGUAGGUCAUCCUACGUUAGUAUGGUGCUAUUUAGGGUGUCCGGUGAUGGUGAAAAAUGUCAUGUCGGUGAAUUUUAUUCCGUUGGAUAUUGUGGAUUUUGAGGUGAUUUUUGGCACAAAGUGGGUGCAGAAUAAAUUUGCCAAGCUAGAUUGCUAUGGCGAAUCAGUUAAUUUUUGUCGACCUGGAUGACCAUAGGUUACUUUUGGGGGUAAGUAAAGUGGAGUGAGUCAUGCCAUUAUUCAUGUUGAGAGAGCAAAGAAGAUUGUUAUCAAAAGGCUGCCAAGAUAUUUAGUUCAUAUGGUGCUAAAUGAUGUUGAUCCUAAUAGUAUGGAAGAUGUAAAGAUGGUUAGACAUUUUCCUGGUGUAUUUCCAAAUGACUUACCUAGAUUACCGCCAGGCAGAGAUGUGGGUUCCAUUAUUGAAUUGUUUUUAGGUACAAAUCCUAUGUUAGAGAUUGGUUCAGGUUGAGUUAAAAGUUCCAUUCAACUUAUUAUAUCACAUUGGAAAAGCUUCGGUUUAUUUGUGAGGAAGAAAGUGGACAUUAAGGCUAGGCAUUGAUAUUAGGUAAUUGAAUCGGGUAACGAUUGAGAGCUGUUAUCCAUUGUUGUGUAUUGAUGAUUAUUUGAUCAGCUCUGAGGCGCCUGGGUACUUUCUGAGAUUGACUAGAGGUCUGAAUGAUAUUAGUUGAAGAUUAACAGUGAGGAUGUUCAUAAGACUGAAUCCAGGACUCGUUAUGGUCAUUUCAAGUUAGGAUGCCAUACGGAGUGACGAAUGCACCUGCUACUUUUAUGAGUUUGCUGAAGGAAGUAUUCCAGUGAUAUCUGGACCGGGUUGUUAUUGUUUGCCAUUGACGAGAUUGAUAAGAUUAGAGCAGUGCAUGCUAGAUAUUUAAAGUUGGUGUUGCAAAGAUUGAGGGAACGUUGAUGUAUGCUAAGUUUAGCAAAUGCUAAUGUUGGAUAAAUUAAUUAUAUCUACUUAAGGUAUUCAAAUGGAUUCUUAAAAGAGUAGCAACGAUUGAGAAUUUGGAACAAUUGCGAACUGUGACUGAGGUUCAGAGUUUUCUCGGAUUAGCAGGAUAUUGUCGAUAGUUCGUCCAAGAUUUUAAUUAUUGCUUCGCCCUUGGCGAGAUUGAUGAGAAAAGAGGUUAAGUUUGAGUGGGAUGAAAAAUUAUAAGUAGAGCUUCAGCAAGUAAAGUAUUCCCUCACUCAUGCAUCUGUUUUCACACUCCCAGACGAUAGUGGUAAUUAUGUGGUCUAUAGUAAUACUUCUUUGAAUGUUCUUGAAUGCGCGUUGAUGCAGCAUGGUAGGAUGAUUGCCUAUGCUUCAUGGCCAUUGGGAUCUCAUAAGAUGAAUUACCCUACGUGUGAUUUGGAAUUGGCGGCUAUCAUUCUUACUUUGAAGUUAUGGAGACAUUAUAUUAUUGGUGAGAAAUGCAAGAUUUUAAUGAAUCAUAAGAGUCUCCAAUAUAUGUUUACGCUGAGAGAUAUUAAUCUUAGGCAACAAAGGUGGAUUGAGUUGCUUAGUGAUUAUGAUUGUGCGACUAGGGUGGUCGAGCUAAUAUUGUGGCUGAUGCAUUUAGUAGGAAGACCCCAGUGAGAAUUAAUGCUUGGUACGCUUGCUAUGUUCAUCUUCUUCUUGUGGAUUUGAAAUCUACUGGAGUAAAGUUGGGUAUCGAAAAAUCGAGAAGAAGCCUUAUUUGCUAAUUUCCAAGUUGGACCCAUUUGGUAGAUCGUACUCGAGACUCAAGCGUUUGACGAAGAAAUUCAAGAAUUUAUUUAAAGCAAGGAAUAACGGGAAAAAGAAAGACCUUAGAGUUAGAGAAUCAGAUGACAAGCUUAUGCAAGGGAACAAAGUGUUUAUGCCUAAUGGUGUGGAAUUAAAGAAAGCAAUUUUGACGAUGUACAUUAUUCCACUUCUACAAUGCAUCCCGAAAGUACUAAGAUUUAUCAUACCAUUCGUUCAUGUACUAUUGACGGGUAUGAAAAGAGGAAUGGCGAAGUAUGUUAGUAGGCGUAUCAUCAGUCAUCAGGUUAAAGCAGAAAGAAAUAAGUCUUUUGGAAUAAUGUAGUCAUUUCCCAUUCCACGGCGGAAAUGGGAGAAUAUUACUAUGGAUUUCGUGGACAAGCUUCCUCGUAUACAAAAUAGUUAGGUUGGAAUUUGAAUAAUAAUUGAUCGACUUGUGACGUCAGCGUAUGUUACUUCAGUAUGAGAACAUCAACCUUUCCAGAUAAGCGCAACAGUUAUUUAUUUGUUUUAUGGAAAAAGGAGAUUGGGAUCUGUUAAACUUCUUGGGUAUGUUGGUCCCUUCAGUUUGUUCCCUAGAGUAACGCCAUAAGGCCGUGGAAAGCUAUGUCUUGUGUUUUCGAAAUUGUUAGAAUUGGGGACGGAUGAUAUUCAAGACUCUGAGUUUGGUGAAAAUUUAUGGAGGAAUCUUUCAGUGGAAGAAACUACUUGAAAGUCAGAGAAUCGAAUGAGAGAGAGAGUUGUGUUUCGGGCUGUUUUAUGGAUAUUGCUGGAUUGUAAAGAUUGUGUAAAUUUCGGGGACGAAAUUUCUUUAAGGUGGGUAGAUUGUGACAGCCCGUCCCUAAUUUUAAGAAUUUUUAAAGUUUUCAUAAAGGAUUUUACAAAAAAUGCCCUUUGAAGGUACGUGCAUUAUUCGAGGUUAAUCACCAUGUCGUGCCAUCUAAGAUUUGUUUUCUUGACAUAUCCCCGUAGUACUCGUCGUUACGGACGCGUGGGCGCAGACGGUUCGUGAUUUGGAGUUAUAUCGAAGAAGUUAUUAAAGUUUGAAGUUGGGAUUUUAAGGAAUUAUAAUUUUAGUAAAAUAUAGAAAUUCUUUUAUGAAAAUGGACGGCCCAGAUUUAAUGAUGAAUGAAAUGGAUGGUUGGGAUGAGAGAAAGUUUUGUGUGUGUGUGUGUGCGUGAGAAGAAAACAGAAAAGAGAGAGGGAUUGGGCAAAGCUGCCCAAUCGGAGAAGAAGGAGGAGAGACCGAAUGGGGAGAAGAGAGAGGGAGAAGCUGACCAACUAGAGGAAGGAAAGGAGGAAAGGAGAGAGGGCGAGAAGCGGAGGAGAGAAGGAAGAAAUGGGUUUUUCCCCAACCCGUAUACCCGCGCGACCCGCGACUUCCAAUCGGCGGGUUUUCGCCAUUUUCGUCCAAUUUUCCGACGAAUUGAAUCAAGGGUACCACUCCUAAUCAUCAUCUAGGCCUUCCCUCUUCACGUUUCACCCCAAGAAUCAUUGAAUUUCGUUGUGAUUUCGCGAAGAACACCCCUACGGGUGCCGCGACCCUUUUGUUUAAAUUCUCCAAAUUUUGAAAUGUUUUCUUUCAAUUACUAACACCAUUAGCAUUCCCUUAGGACCUAAAACAAAGCCCAAGAGGUAAUUGAGGCGUUGGAACAAGUUUGAAGGUCGAAUUGGAAACACCCAAUUCUAGGGUUCUUCACGGUUUUGGUGAAAUUGAAGCACUUCCAGGCCAAAUUGGCCUUGGCCUCAGGUAUGAAAGUUGUUCUACUCAUUGAGAUCUUCAAAUCUGCAAAUUUUAGUAAUUUUUGGAAAUAGUUGAAUUUUCCGGCGAGCCGGGGCGGCCAACCGCCACCCGCGGCGGCCCGCGCGGCGGUGCGUGGCCAAUGGCCCGCCAAUGUCAUUAUUAGCUUGUGAUUAAGGUUCUAGGUUCUGUUUUGAUAAUUGAUGGACGUAAAUUGAAUAAUUGAACCUAAGUUGGUUACGAUUCGUGGUUAGGUAAAAAUGUGAAUUGACGAUCCGACCGUUGGAUCGUCACCAAACUUUGAUACGUUGUAAUACGUAAUAUUUGAGGAUUAUAGGAACUUACGGAUUGAGAAUCCGAUUUACGGAUCUUCCGGAAUUGAAGUUGUAAGUUCAUAAAAUAGAAUGUUAACCGUCACUUAGUUUUGGAAAUUGACGGAGAUCCGACCGUUGGAUGGUAAUGAAAUUUUAGGAUGUUGUCCUAGAGGUAUAUUGUGGACCUCUGGAAGUUACGGAUUUGAAAUCUGAGUUGCAGAUCAUCCGGAUCGAAUUACGUAGUGACGUGUCUUAUAUAAGUUAUGUAUUCUAUCGGCAGGAUUUCUGAGGUUGGGUUUGAUUAUUGUUCUAGGCGCUAAUCUUCAUGAUGCCUUGAUGUGUGGUGCUAGGGAGUUGUUGGGCGAACUCCAGGUGAGUGGGCAGUUUUGUUUUGUAUUACCUUAUAUACUAUUGAUUUUUCCCAGAAAAUGAAUUUUAUGAAAAUUAUGUUUUAAAAAUGCCAUGCAUAGAAUUAUUUGGAAAAUGUGAAUUUCAUAUGAGUUAUAUGAUUGAUAUAUGAUGCAUACAUGUUGCAUGGUGCUGUGGAGGCACAGGUAAGUCAGGUGAGUUCAUUUAUUCAUUGAAUUGUUGUUGAGAUGUUUUGAGCUCAUAACCUGCACCCUAGGUGUUAGUGCUUAUUUUAUUCACCACACCGCACGCUCGCCUUGGAUCCAAGUAGGUGGAUGUCGUACAGACCAUGUGAGGGUUCCGACAUGCCAGUCGUACAGACCAUUAGAGGGGUUCCGACUGGUGGGUGACCUUAGAUAUGCGCGCUGAUGAUAUGAUGAGAGAAGCACUAGAGCGUAUUUUACACCUUUCAUCGUAUAGACUACCUUACGUAGUUCCGAGUGAUGUGCAGAGUAGGGCCGUAUAGGUCACUGUGGUGACUCCGGCUUAGUGAGAUAUUGAGCU
Molecule: long non-coding RNA, 6645 nt
Filed under: Malus domestica (apple)
Lineage: Eukaryota; Viridiplantae; Streptophyta; Magnoliopsida; Rosales; Rosaceae
Description: long non-coding RNA (MDOM_LNC011711)
Source: RNAcentral